UCUAAGUUUGAUGGCGACCGGCGCACGGGUGAGUAACACGUAUCCAACCUGCCGAUGACUCGGGGAUAGCCCUUCGAAAGAAAGAUUAAUACCCGAUGGCAUAGUUCUUCCGCAUGGUAGAACUAUUAAAGAAUUUCGGUCAUCGAUGGGGAUGCGUUCCAUUAGGUUGUUGGCGGGGUAACGGCCCACCAAGCCUUCGAUGGAUAGGGGUUCUGAGAGGAAGGUCCCCCACAUUGGAACUGAGACACGGUCCAAACUCCUACGGGAGGCAGCAUG
This 276-nucleotide ribosomal RNA is filed under the name uncultured bacterium. RNAcentral's name for it is "partial 16S ribosomal RNA". It matches the Rfam family "Bacterial small subunit ribosomal RNA", at positions 78 to 353 of the family's 1533-position model. The record is from RNAcentral.